UGCACAAUGGGCGCAAGCCUGAUGCAGCUAUGUCGCGUGUAUGAAGAAGACCUUAGGGUUGUAAAGUACUUUCAAUAGCAUAAGAAGGUAAUGAAACUAAUAAUUUUGUUAUCAGACGUUAGCUAUAAAAGAAGCACCGGCUAACUCCGUGCCAGCAGCCGCGGUAAUACGGAGGGUGCUAGCGUUAAUCGGAAUUACUGGGCGUAAAGAGCACUUAGGUGGUUUAUUAAGUCAAGUGUGAAAUCCCUAGACUUAAUCUAGGAACUGCAUUUGAAACUAAUAGACUAGAGUUUCGUAGAGGGAGGUAGAAUUCUAGGUGUAGCGGUGAAAUGCAUAGAUAUCUAGAGGAAUAUCAGUGGCGAAGGCGACCUCCUGGACGAUAACUGACGCUAAAAUGCGAAAGCAUGGGUAGCAAACAGGAUUAGAUACCCUGGUAGUCCAUGCUGUAAACGAUGUCGACUAAGAAGUUGAAAGCUUUGACUUAUAAUUUCUGUAGCUAACGCGUUAAGUCGACCGCCUGGGGAGUACGGCCGCAAGGCUAAAACUCAAAUGAAUUGACGGGGGCCUGCACAAGCGGUGGAGCAUGUGGUUUAAUUCGAUGCAACGCGUAAAACCUUACCUGGUCUUGACAUCCACAGAAUUUUAUAGAAAUAUAAAAGUGCAAUUUGAACUGUGAGACAGGUGCUGCAUGGCUGUCGUCAGCUCGUGUUGUGAAAUGUUGGGUUAAGUCCCGCAACGAGCGCAACCCUUGUUUUUUGUUACCAUCAGAUAAAGCUGGGGACUCAAAAGAAACUGCCAGUUAUAAACUGGAGGAAGGUGGGGACGACGUCAAGUCAUCAUGGCCCUUACGACCAGGGCUACACACGUGCUACAAUGGCGUAUACAAAGAGAUGCAAUAUUGUAAAAUAAAGCUAAUCUAUAAAAUACGUCUUAGUUCGGACUGGAGUCUGCAACUCGACUCCACGAAGUCGGAAUCGCUAGUAAUCGUGGAUCAGCAUGCCACGGUGAAUAUGUUUCCAGGCCUUGUACACACCGCCCGUCACACCAUGGAAGUGGGUUGCAAAAGAAGUAGAUUAAUUUAACCUUCUUAACAAGAAAAUAGUUUACCACUUUGUGAUUCAUGA
Molecule: ribosomal RNA, 1124 nt
Filed under: Candidatus Annandia adelgestsuga
Lineage: Bacteria; Pseudomonadati; Pseudomonadota; Gammaproteobacteria; Enterobacterales; Enterobacteriaceae
Description: bacterial SSU rRNA
Rfam family: Bacterial small subunit ribosomal RNA
Source: RNAcentral